UCCAGGUGUUUCUGAUGCCUGUUCAAGUUUGAGAAUCAAUGGACUAAAGUCUUCAUGAACCACAAACAGCAUUGGAAGAUCAAAUCUUCCAUGUCGCACUAUUGCUUCUGACAAUGUAUCAAACCACAUCACUUUUUCAGCUUUGGAUCUUACCCUCUGCAGAAGUUCAUUAUGUAAUAGAUUUCAUGUUAAGAAAACAGGGUUUUCUGCAGUUCUGAACAUUCACAGAAACUCGGAUUCAGCACCAGAAUCUUAGGAGGCAUUUUGGUGUCUGAUGCAAUUUAGAACUUAAAUGGAGACUCAAUCUGAUGUCUGACCUGAAUUGUUUAACUAUAAAAUAAGUUCCUAUUAGGAAAGUCACAUCCAACAAUAGGAAACAUACUGUGAGAGAAGACUGGGGAAAAAUUAAAUGACUUCCCAAAGCCUAAACGUCUGAAA
This 438-nucleotide long non-coding RNA is filed under the name Pongo abelii (Sumatran orangutan). RNAcentral describes it as "lincRNA". Lineage: Eukaryota; Metazoa; Chordata; Mammalia; Primates; Hominidae. The record is from RNAcentral.